This 484-nucleotide ribosomal RNA is filed under the name uncultured bacterium. RNAcentral's name for it is "partial 16S ribosomal RNA". It matches the Rfam family "Bacterial small subunit ribosomal RNA", at positions 30 to 507 of the family's 1533-position model. The record is from RNAcentral.
AUUGAACGCUGGCGGCAGGCCUAACACAUGCAAGUCGAGCGGAGGAAGUGAGCUGGCUCCUGGAUUCAGCGGCGGACGGGUGAGUAAUGCCUAGGAAUCUGCCUGGUAGUGGGGGAUAACGUCCGGAAACGGGCGCUAAUACCGCAUACGGCCUGAGGGAGAAAGUGGGGGAUCUUCGGACCUCACGCUAUCAGAUGAGCCUAGGUCUGAUUAGCUAGUUGGUGGGGUAAAGGCCUACUAAGGCGACGAUCCGUAACUGGUCUGAGAGGAUGAUCAGUCACACUGGAACUGGGGAGCGGUCCAGACCCCUACGGGAGGGAGCAGUGGCGAAUACUGGCGAAUGGGCGAAAGGCUGAUCCAGCCAUGACGCGUGUGUGAAGAAGGCCUUCGGAUUGUAAAGCACUUUAAGUUGGGAGGAAGGGCAGUAAGUUAAUACCUUGCUGUUUUGACGUUACCAAAAGAAUAAGCACCGGCUAACUUCGUG